This 709-nucleotide ribosomal RNA is filed under the name uncultured bacterium. RNAcentral describes it as "bacterial SSU rRNA". It matches the Rfam family "Bacterial small subunit ribosomal RNA", at positions 62 to 776 of the family's 1533-position model. The record is from RNAcentral.
UCGAACGGUUGGUAGCAAUACCAAUAGUGGCGCACGGGUGCGUAACGCGUAACCAACCUACCCGAAUCUGGGGGAUAGCCCGCCGAAAGGCGGAUUAAUACCGCAUAAAACUGCAGCCUGGCAUCAGGUAACAGUUAAAGAUUUAUUGGAUUCGGAUGGGGUUGCGUGCCAUUAGCUAGUUGGCGGGGUAACGGCCCACCAAGGCGACGAUGGCUAGGGGAGCUGAGAGGCUGGUCCCCCACACGGGCACUGAGAUACGGGCCCGACUCCUACGGGAGGCAGCAGUAGGGAAUAUUGGGCAAUGGACGAGAGUCUGACCCAGCCAUGCCGCGUGCAGGAUGAAGGCUUUCUGAGUCGUAAACUGCUUUUACCAGGGAAGAAAAAAGGGGAUGCGUCCUCUACUGACGGUACCUGGUGAAUAAGCACCGGCUAACUCCGUGCCAGCAGCCGCGGUAAUACGGAGGGUGCAAGCGUUGUCCGGAUUUAUUGGGUUUAAAGGGUGCGUAGGCGGCUGAUUAAGUCUGGGGUGAAAGCCCGUUGCUCAACAACGGAACUGCCCUGGAAACUGGUUAGCUUGAGUACAGACGAGGGUGGCGGAAUGGAUACUGUAGCGGUGAAAUGCUUAGAUAGUAUCCAGAACCCCGAUUGCGAAGGCAGCUGCCUAGACUGUAACUGACGCUGAGGCACGAAAGCGUGGGGGGCGAACAGG